ACCACUUUACACCGGCACGCAGUACGCUCAUUAUUUCUCCACCGUCUCUCUCUCUAUAUCUCUAUUUUAACUCUAACCAGCUUACACCACCGCCGCAGCUACCUUCGAACAAUUAAACCAUCGUCACAACCGCAAAUCACCAACAGGGUAGGUACUCUCCAUUUCCUCAAAUGGAAGCAUCAUCUAUUGAUGACCAGCCUGCAAUGUCUCUUGAGGAGGAGGAAAUGAGGAGCAUGGCUUUAUAUAGAGAGGAAUUAAUAGAAAGAAAAAUAAUGCGAAAACAAAGCUGCGGCAGCUGCUGGUCGCGAGUUCAUAAGGGGCGAUGACAAAAGUGCUGGCUAUGACUGGCUCCUUAUUCCCCCAAGCAAGCUGGAACAUUGUUUUAUGAAGAUCCCAGGAGAGGGCAGUCAUUGUGUGGCAAGUGAUCCAACUCCUACGAAAGCCACUACUGCCAGAAAGGAAGCUAUUGGUGUGGAGGAAAGGAUUGCAACUUGUGUAACGACCAAGACAACUGUUAAAGAUGACAACUUCAGAGAUGAGUCCAGGGAAAGCGUACUGCAAGUUGUUUAAGAAUAAGAAGUUUAGGUUCGAAGUUGGUGAUUGUACUUUUAUAGCUCCAGAGGAUGAAAUGAAAAGCCUAAUAUUGCAAUUAAUCAAACAUUUAACAGAAGACGUGGAUGGAAAUUGAUGGUUAUGUGCCAGUACUUGUAUUGACUAGAGGAUGUAGCAGAUAGAUAUGGUAGAAUGUGGGAACUGUAUGAUGAUAGGGAGUUGUUUUACAGUCUUCACCAAGAAGAGAUUCCGAGUGUGUGUUUCCUGCAUGCUUGUAUAAGUGCAUUUUGUUCCCUCAGUGGACAAAAUUCCUGUUCGUACACAGAAUCCUGGCUUUAUUGUACUAAGGGUUUACGAAGAACAAGUACUGUGGUGGGUAAGAGAUAGGGAUUUUGAGAAGCAUAAACAAGUUGAAAUUUAUCAUCUUCUGCUGAAAACUCAACAACUGUUGGGAUAUGACAUGGAGGUGGAAGAGGAGAAAGCCGAAAAUUCUUUGGAGGAAGUUAAGAUUGUGGAGGAGGAAAUGGAGGAUAAUCUAUCACAUCUACCUGUAGCCGAUACUGAUGAUAUUGAUGCAAUUUUGGCUAAGGCACUUAUUGGAGAUGAUGUGAGAGUUAAAUGCUUGGGAUUGCUUUUUGAGGAAAUAAACUGCCUAUAGAUCAUCACGAGACCACCAUCCAGAUGUUGUUAUGUCAGCGCUAGUUGCUCCAGAGAAAGCCUGUUUUAGUACUCGGGGUGAGAAUUUGACGAAGUAUCAGCAAAAAAUGCGACAGUUGCGUUUUAAUCUGAAGGAUACCGUAGAACUAGCUAGACUUUUGAUUGAUUCCUUGUUGAAAACUUCAGCGGGUGUGGAGAUGACAGCGGAGGAAUUAAGGAGAGGACGCCUGGCAUCAGAAGAGAAAUCUGGCGGAGAAGAACCAGAGGAGCAACAUAUGGAUAUUCCAUGCCCAAGAUGCAAUGAGAAGAAAGUGGGUCUCCGCAGCAGCAUUUUCAUAGCAGGACGUGCUGCCGACUACCAAUUUGAAUGUUUGAAAUGUGGUAAGACAUGGUUCUCGUCUAGGAUAUAAGGAUGAGAAUCAACACAUAUAUAGCACCCGUCUUAGAAUUCUUGAAUCCUUUUAACUGGGUAAACAAACUAGGUCCAUCAGAACUCCGCAAUCCAUGUCAAGUACAAAUUGUAGUAUACAUAUAUAGAUGUUAGUUAUAGUUUUUGAGACACUAGCAUAUUUUGGCUUUAGUUUUGCAAGUGUCCAGGCUUGAGAUAGAACUACACAGAUUCCAAAGCUUCACAGUUUGGACAAUUUAUAGCUUUGAUGAUCACAUGUUAUGUGUAGCUGUGAUUGCUUCACCUUUAGUUUUUUGGUUAUAAACUUUGCUUGUGUUUAGAAACUGCAGGCUCAUAUGUUUACCACUAACUAGUAUAAAAUUUGCUUACAUCAAUAUGACCUAGUCGUGUAAUUAUUUUGGGACGCAGUCUGUUUUUAUGUUUUUGUUUUUCAAUUGCUACAUGGCUACGAAUUGCGACAUCUGGUUCUGUUCUUUUUUGUUCCUUUAAUCUGUUGUCCCGUCUGUGGUAAGUUGUGUCCAAAUGCAGCUUCAAACUGCAAGUAAUAAGGGAUCCUAUUUUGCUGUGAUUUGAAUUGUAUUUUGUUGGUUCUUUUUACCAAGUCAAAGUGGAAGGACCUAACAUACAGGUGUGAGUAUGCAGAAUUUGUUCGCCUAUUAUUCAUCUUUAGAUA
This is a long non-coding RNA of Papaver somniferum (opium poppy), 2291 nucleotides long. RefSeq lists it as uncharacterized. The transcript is spliced from 5 exons. Lineage: Eukaryota; Viridiplantae; Streptophyta; Magnoliopsida; Ranunculales; Papaveraceae. The record is from RefSeq and is a predicted model, not a curated record.